RNAcentral lists this ribosomal RNA (433 nucleotides) under uncultured bacterium. Its description in RNAcentral is "partial 16S ribosomal RNA". It matches the Rfam family "Bacterial small subunit ribosomal RNA", at positions 29 to 507 of the family's 1533-position model. The record is from RNAcentral.
AGCGAACGCUGGCGGCAGGCCUAACACAUGCAAGUCGAACGAACUCUUCGGAGUUAGUGGCGGACGGGUGAGUAACACGUGGGAACGUGCCUUUUGGUUCGGAAUAACUCAGGGAAACUUGUGCUAAUACCGAAUGUGCCCUUCGGGGGAAAGAUUUUUCGCCAUUAGAGCGGCCCGCGUCUGAUUAGCUAGUUGGUGAGGUAACGGCUCACCAAGGCGACGAUCAGUAGCUGGUCUGAGAGGAUGACCAGCCACACUGGGACUGAGACACGGCCCAGACUCCUACGGGAGGCAGCAGUGGGGAAUCUUGCGCAAUGGGCGAAAGCCUGACGCAGCCAUGCCGCGUGAAUGAUGAAGGUCUUAGGAUUGUAAAAUUCUUUCACCGGGGACGAUAAUGACGGUACCCGGAGAAGAAGCCCCGGCUAACUUCGUG